GGCCGACCAAGAAGAUGUUCAAACAACCAAGAGAUAUGUUAGUCCAAAGACAGAAUGAGGAGCGAACUUUUACCACUUAUUUGUGUAGAAGAGUAUGGUACCAGGGGUGCAGCUGACUCUGAUUCCCGGCUUGUUCUAAUGAAAAAAGGCAUAUGAGGCACUGGAAUCCGAAUGUAAUCAAAAAUGCCAUUGUAUGAGGAUUGACCUGCAAUGCAUGGAAAUCAUCUAACACAACUGCAACGCCUUCCUUGGAAAAAUGAGUGCAAGAUGGAAACAAAGCGUUCAGUGGAACAUCUUGUCAUCUUAAAUAUUUGAUGACUUACAUACUGAUGUGAAGUUGAAGAUAAAAGUCAUGUGUUGGUCCGUAAUUAUUAAAUAAAUCCGAACAUAUAUUUUAAAAGGGUUAUAUGGUAAAGGAUUUAUCUACACUUAAAGUGGUUUUCCUAUAUUAUGGAGGGAAGAUAACUACAAAAACAGAAACAGAUGGCAUCGGCAGACCAAAUAAAGGAGAACUAUGUUGUUCAGUUCAAUUUUUAAGACUUCAGAAAAUCCGUUAAUAGGGCACAUCCUUGCAAAUGCCAUAUUGUAAACUGGGCUCUUUAAAAUGUGAAAAGGUGAAAGUGGUCUAGAGAAUAAGCGUCAAAUUCAAGGUUGUGAGUUCAAGACCUCCAAGAUACUUUCUCUUGACCUCAGGUAAAGGAUGUCCAUACUUGUUUCUACUUAGGCAACAGACUUAAGAGUGAUUCUGUAACCUUCCAGCUUGCAUAGCAAUCUGAUAAGGCACAAAAUAAGAUACUAGCUGACUUGCAAACAGUUUUUCCAUUUGUGUUGAUUUAUUUUUCAGUCUGUUGGAAUGUUUAUUAGAAGUGAUGCGCAUUGCUUACUGCAACCAAUAUUUAUUUUCUUUAUUAAGUUAAAUUUAACGAACACAUAACAUGACUUGUGAUUUUACAGAUGCAUGUUUAUUUCGUUGAUUG
Molecule: long non-coding RNA, 977 nt
Organism: Mya arenaria
Lineage: Eukaryota; Metazoa; Mollusca; Bivalvia; Myida; Myidae
Exons: 3
Source: RefSeq, a predicted model, not a curated record